This is a long non-coding RNA of Oncorhynchus kisutch (coho salmon), 860 nucleotides long. RefSeq lists it as uncharacterized. The transcript is spliced from 4 exons. The record is from RefSeq and is a predicted model, not a curated record. NCBI's taxonomy places the organism in Eukaryota, Metazoa, Chordata, Actinopteri, Salmoniformes, Salmonidae.
UCUGCUGGGGCUCCAGAGAGAGAGAGGGUUGGGUGUAGGACAUGAAGCAUCAGACACACCACACGCUCCGCUCCUCUGUCCCAAACCCCCAGCCGAACCCCCAGCUGAGGGGGCAAUGACUCAUUAAAAUGGAGGAGGCAAAUAAUAGCAUGUCUCAUCAUGUCUUCAGGAUCAGGACCCACAAGUCAAAUCCUGAACACGCCUCAUACCCUCAUUCAAUUACUGCUGUGAUCCCUUCCCAACACUAUGUCUCCCAUCCUCCUCAAUGUUUCAGGUCACCAGCCUCCACUGAUGUACAGUAUAUGGAAAGACCAUCUAUAUACUGAAAAAUCCCUCUCUUCAAAUCAAUGAUGAUGAAUCACAUACAGUACAGUACUACUCCAAUAACUCCACCUAAGGCAGUGGUAAAGAUAGUGAAGAUAGUUUCCUGUGACUGUCCAACCAUCAACCAACAGCAAAGAGUCACAUGCAGGUAAAGCUUUCAAUUUGAACAUGACUUUGCUCUAAAAACUUUGAAGUGCCAAGUGAAGUCUUCUAUGAAACUUUGAUGAAGUAGGUCAUAAAAUAUGGAGGCCGUUACGAAGUGGACAUUAAUGGGUUGCCCAUGGGUAGACCCCACCAUGCAGAGUCUGUGAUGAGGUGAAACUACAUGCUGUGCUGAACACAAGAUUUCAGGAAUGGAGGGAAUGGAGGCGUGAGCAGAGCAGAGUACUACAAUUAAACUCCUCAUACGAAAAAUAAAUAUGUACACAAUUCAAGUAUGAUCGUUGCAUUAAAAUGUAAUGUUAGUAAUAUUAUAAUUUACAUUAUUUAUAUUUAUCUGUUUUGUAUGUAUGUAAUGUAGGCUACAUAACAAAUGU